UGGGGAAUAUUGGACAAUGGGGGCAACCCUGAUCCAGCCAUGCCGCGUGAAUGAUGAAGGCCUUCGGGUUGUAAAGUUCUUUUGGUGGGGACGAUGAUGACGGUACCCACAGAAUAAGCUCCGGCUAACUUCGUGCCAGCAGCCGCGGUAAUACGAAGGGAGCUAGCGUUGUUCGGAAUUACUGGGUUUAAAGGGUGCGUAGGCGGUUUGAUAAGUUAGAGGUGAAAUACCGGUGCUUAACACCGGAACUGCCUCUAAUACUGUUGAACUAGAGAGUAGUUGUGGUAGGCGGAAUGUAUGGUGUAGCGGUGAAAUGCUUAGAGAUCAUACAGAACACCGAUUGCGAAGGCAGCUUACCAAACUAUAUCUGACGUUGAUGCACGAAAGCGUGGGGAGCAAACA
RNAcentral lists this ribosomal RNA (402 nucleotides) under uncultured prokaryote. RNAcentral's name for it is "bacterial SSU rRNA". It matches the Rfam family "Bacterial small subunit ribosomal RNA", at positions 355 to 774 of the family's 1533-position model. The record is from RNAcentral.